RNAcentral lists this long non-coding RNA (949 nucleotides) under Fukomys damarensis (Damara mole-rat). Its description in RNAcentral is "lncRNA (ENSFDAG00000032213.1)". Lineage: Eukaryota; Metazoa; Chordata; Mammalia; Rodentia; Bathyergidae. The record is from RNAcentral.
CUGCAGGAGGAUGACUACAAAAAAGAAGCUAAUUUUUACAGCAGAGCUCUGGAAGGUUUGAAUUAUACACAACAAGUAUGGAUGGGUAUGAGUGGAACCGAAAACCUGAGAAAGUCUGCAAGACGAUGAAAAGUCUGUAUAGGAAAGCAAUUGAGCUUUGAGAACUCUUUCUUACACGGCCAAACUAUAGCACCCUACCCCAAGAGAAGACUGGAGGGUUCCUCUCUAGAGAAAGUGGAUCAAAGGCACCAUGGAUUCGGGAAUAUGAAAAACAGCAGGCAAAGGAGGUUCUACAGAGAAUGAAACAGAAGCAAGGCAGCCAGUUCCCUUUUCCAAUUCUCCCUCGAGUUGUGAUGCAGCCAGGGGUCCCUUACCAUGGUAAGUGCUAUGCUAUGUUUUGGCCUCUGCAGCCACCAUACUCCUAAGCCAAAUACAUUUCAUUGCAAAGUAUCCCGCCUCAUAUUUUGCUGUAGCAACACAAAACAAAUGCAGACUCUUAGUUGAUCUAGACUCAUUCAUAGUUUUGUCUAUUGAGGACAAAGGGGUUGUCCUCUAACUCCAGUUAGGAUCAGAAUGACUUUCACACAUUCUUCUCUCUACAGCUUUCUUUUACCUCUGUGAAGGAUAUUUUAGUACCUUUAGGGCCCCUUCUCCCAAAGAUGUAUUUGGUAAUUGUGGAAGUAUUUGUGAAGAAAGAGUUUAUUUGCUGCUACUUGCAAAUCUACUUUGUUUUCCAGAACAACUUUGCAGCCUCCUAAUGCUUACUAGUGAGAGCACUUGCUGUUACUAUUUUGAUGAGGAAAUAAAAAAGUGACUACUGUCGCAUAGCUAUGAACAAAAGCAGCUGUCUGUGUGUGCCAUACCUCUUCAGUGGCUUUCCCUUCUUGGCAGGAGUUGAUCUUUGCUGCUUAUCUGGGACCUUGUUAGAAAUGCAAAAUCUCAGACCCCA